UGACAUAAAGCUUGCAUGAACGCAUUGCAGUGCCCCGAGCCCCAGGCCACUGGGAACAAUGGUAAAUGUGCGAAGUUUAAGCUAAAUAAUAUGCUUUUAAUGAGAUCGUGUGACUUGCAGAUCAAAAACAUCACCAAAAGACCAGCCAAAGAGUUCCCGGCGAGCUUCUGGUGCACUGUCCACACUUGCUCAGAAUACACCAACUGAGAUUGCCUUAUGAUUGCAGGAGGCUGGGCUGGAGGAAGCCUAUUUUCCCACUCCUGCCCUCUGACCUGUGAGUUUCUGGAAGUCAGACCAAGAUUUAACAGAAAGUGGAAUCUGAAUCAGCAAGAAGCUGGUACAAAGCAGCUCUGAGGAGGGCGUCUAGCGACAGCCAGGAAGAAUGUCACCCACUCCGUUUUCAGGGCCUAUGUGUGCCUCCUGACUCAGUGGAAUGGGGUCUACAUCUUUUCCAACGACUUCAUUUUAUGUUCUUUCAAUGCUGACAACUUGAAAAAGGCAGUGGACAUAUCUAAAAAUGACAGUUAUCUUCAGGGAAAGGAAAAUGGCAAAUAUUAGACAAAACAAGUAUGAAGUAAAUUUUUCACCCUGAAGGGCCAAAGAAAUCAUUAGAGUUGUCUGACAGCCUUGGUCUCCAGGCACGUGACCCGCCUUCUGGCUGUCUCAUUGCUAUUUAUAUGAGCCAGCAUGUCUGUCUAGUGGCCAGGAUGGAAUCAGCUGGGAUCUAUAGGAUCUUAGAUACAGCCCGGCACGAAAGAAACCAGCAAACCAUUAUAUCUGUCUUUUUAAAUUCUGGGUUCCAAAUUAUUCACCUGUAUUUGUAAUUAGUUACUUUUCUCCCAACACCACACACACACACACACACACACACAUACACAUGCACACACACACACAUUUUAUUCUUCUCUCCCUUAAAACAUCACAUUGAACAAGAUAGAACUUUAGAAGUUAAAUUACCAUAUCUCUUCGGCAAGAUAUUACUAUAUUUGCAGAGUGGGUGUUGAAAUAAAAUAAAAUAAAAAUAGCUGCUUUUGGCCUAGGAUAAGAUAUUCAAAUAAAUUAUGAAAUGGGAAG
This 1074-nucleotide long non-coding RNA is filed under the name Equus caballus (horse). Its description in RNAcentral is "lncRNA (ENSECAG00000049696.1)". The record is from RNAcentral. Lineage: Eukaryota; Metazoa; Chordata; Mammalia; Perissodactyla; Equidae.